Molecule: ribosomal RNA, 253 nt
Filed under: uncultured bacterium
Lineage: Bacteria
Description: partial 16S ribosomal RNA
Rfam family: Bacterial small subunit ribosomal RNA
Source: RNAcentral
GACAGAGGGUGCAAACGUUGCUCGGAAUUACUGGGCGUAAAGCGCGCGUAGGCGGCUUUGUAAGUUAGAGGUGAAAGCCCGGAGCUCAACUCCGGAACUGCCUUUAAGACUGCAUCGCUUGAAUCCAGGAGAGGUGAGUGGAAUUCCGAGUGUAGAGGUGAAAUUCGUAGAUAUUCGGAAGAACACCAGUGGCGAAGGCGGCUCACUGGACUGGUAUUGACGCUGAGGUGCGAAAGCGUGGGGAGCAAACAGG